AUUGAACGCUGGCGGCAUGCUUUACACAUGCAAGUCGAACGGUAACAGGUUAAGCUGACGAGUGGCGAACGGGUGAGUAAUGCAUCGGAACGUGCCCGGUCGUGGGGGAUAACGCGGCGAAAGCUGCGCUAAUACCGCAUACGAUCUGAGGAUGAAAGCGGGGGACCGUAAGGCCUCGCGCGAUCGGCGCGGCCGAUGUCAGAUUAGGUAGGUGGUGGGGUAAAGGCUAACCAAGCCGGCGAUCUGUAGCUGGUCUGAGAGGACGACACGCCACACUGGGACUGAGACACGGCCCAGACUCCUACGGGAGGCAGCAGUGGGGAAUUUUGGACAAUGGGCGCAAGCCUGAUCCAGCAAUGCCGCGUGCAGGAAGAAGGCCUUCGGGUUGUAAACUGCUUUUGUACGGAGCGAAAAGGCUCUCUCUAAUACAGGGGGCUCAUGACGGUACCGUAAGAAUAAGCACCGGCUAACUACGUGCCAGCAGCCGCCGUAA
RNAcentral lists this ribosomal RNA (493 nucleotides) under uncultured bacterium. Its description in RNAcentral is "partial 16S ribosomal RNA". It matches the Rfam family "Bacterial small subunit ribosomal RNA", at positions 29 to 523 of the family's 1533-position model. The record is from RNAcentral.